GUAGGUGGCAAGCGUUGUCCGGAAUUAUUGGGCGUAAAGCGCGCGCAGGCGGUUCUUUAAGUCUGAUGUGAAUGCCCACGGCUCAACCGUGGAGGGUCAUUGGAAACUGGAGAACUUGAGUACAGAAGAGGAAAGCGGAAUUCCACGUGUAGCGGUGAAAUGCGUAGAGAUGUGGAGGAACACCAGUGGCGAAGGCGGCUUUCUGGUCUGUAACUGACGCUGAGGCGCGAAAGCGUGGGGAGCAAACAGGAUUAGAUACCCUGGUAGUCCACGCCGUAAACGAUGAGUGCUAAGUGUUAGGGGGUUUCCGCCCCCCUUAGUGCUGCAGCUAACGCAUUAAGCACUCCGCCUGGGAGUACGGCCGCAAGGCUG
RNAcentral lists this ribosomal RNA (372 nucleotides) under uncultured organism. RNAcentral describes it as "partial 16S ribosomal RNA". It matches the Rfam family "Bacterial small subunit ribosomal RNA", at positions 527 to 896 of the family's 1533-position model. The record is from RNAcentral.